UACAGAGGUGGCAAGCGUUGUUCGGAAUUACUGGGCGUAAAGGGCGCGUAGGCGGCCCGAUAAGUCCCGCGUGAAAGCCCCCGGCUCAACUGGGGAACUGCGCGGGAAACUAUCGGGCUUGAGUUCGGGAGAGGGAAGCGGAAUUCCGGGUGUAGCGGUGAAAUGCGUAGAUAUCCGGAGGAACACCGGUGGCGAAGGCGGCUUCCUGGACCGACACUGACGCUGAGGCGCGAAAGCUAGGGGAGCAAACGGGA
This 254-nucleotide ribosomal RNA is filed under the name uncultured prokaryote. Its description in RNAcentral is "partial 16S ribosomal RNA". It matches the Rfam family "Bacterial small subunit ribosomal RNA", at positions 524 to 777 of the family's 1533-position model. The record is from RNAcentral.